GAGAGCAAUGAAAUAAAUAAAUAAGCCCGGCAGCACCAAUGAGCGCGGCAGAGCCGGCGGCGGCCGGAGCGGGGCUGGCUCCUUCGCCUGCCUCUGCCUGAAGCCGCAAAGUUCAGACCCAAACGUGUUGCGCCGCCGCCUGCUGCCGCCACCUGCUCCAACGCCCCGAGGAAGGCGGGCGGGCGAGGAGCUGCAGCUGCGUCGCCUCCCGCCUGGCUUGCCUGGACCGGCCGGGAGACGGCAGGCAGAUCUUACAUUUCCUCAAGAGAAUAAUAGAAGGCCUUAAGGAAAAAAAAAUCAAUCUGGGUUACCAGACUGAGCUGUUCUUCAGACAUGAGGGACUGAGAGAUGGGAUAAACUGCAAAGGAAUGUCAGAAUAUUGGUCACUGAAAACAAAUACUGAAAUUUGGGAGAAGGAAAUGCAUGUUGAUCAAAGCUGAGGCAUUACAGAAUCGUGAGCUAAAAACUGAUAGAGAAGAUGAGACGAGAUACUGGACUCGAUGGACCAAACUCUUAUCUGAAAUUUGUGAUUCUUGUGUGGCGUUAAGCUCAUUUUCAUUGGACAUAUAUCAAGAAACACUAAAAACUAGAUGA
RNAcentral lists this long non-coding RNA (594 nucleotides) under Crocodylus porosus (Australian saltwater crocodile). RNAcentral describes it as "lncRNA (ENSCPRG00005011442.1)". The record is from RNAcentral. Lineage: Eukaryota; Metazoa; Chordata; Crocodylia; Crocodylidae.